This 237-nucleotide ribosomal RNA is filed under the name uncultured Staphylococcus sp. RNAcentral describes it as "partial 16S ribosomal RNA". It matches the Rfam family "Bacterial small subunit ribosomal RNA", at positions 103 to 334 of the family's 1533-position model. The record is from RNAcentral. Lineage: Bacteria; Bacillati; Bacillota; Bacilli; Caryophanales; Staphylococcaceae.
CGGGUGAGUAACACGUGGAUAACCUACAUAUAAGACUGGGAUAACUUCGGGAAACCGGAGCUAAUACCGGAUAAUAUUUUGAACCGCAUGGUUCAAAAGUGAAAGACGGUAUUGCUGUCACUUAUAGAUGGAUCCGCGCUGCACUAGCUAGUUGGUAAGGUAACGGCUUACCAAGGCAACGAUGCAUAGCCGACCUGAGAGGGUGAUCGGCCACACUGGAACUGAGACACGGUCCAG